UACGACUACAUAUCAGGCAUAUCAAUAAGCGGAGGAAAAGAAACUAACAAGGAUUCCCUUAGUAACGGCGAGUGAAGCGGGAAGAGCUCAAAUUUGAAAUCUUCAAGGUUCUACCUUGACGAAUUGUAGUUUAAAGAAGUGUUUUCUGUUAGAGGAGUAGCAAAAGUUCCUUGGAAUGGGACAUCAUAGAGGGUGAGAAUCCCGUAUUUGGUUAUUCUUUCUAGCUUUGUGAUACACUUUCAAAGAGUCGGAUUGUUUCGGGAAUGCAGUCCAAAAUGGGUGGUAAAUUUCAUCUAAAGCUAAAUAUUGGCGAGAGACCGAUAGCGAACAAGUACCGUGAGGGAAAGAUGAAAAGAACUUUGAAAAGAGAGUUAAACAGUACGUGAAAUUGUCAAAAGGGAAGCGUUUGACACCAGUGUUGUUUUCUCGAAAAUCAAUUAAGAAGGGCUUGAUUUUGUGUUGUAUUGACCUUAUCAGCUUUCUUCACUCUUUUUCGAGUCUUUCUUAAUGCACUUUUCGGUUAACAAGUCAACAUCAAUUUCUUUUGUUGUAAAAGGGUAUUUGGGAGGUGGCUUUCUUUUCGGAGAAAGUGUUUAUAGCCUUAUACCUCUACAAUCGGAGAGAUUAGGUCUGCAGCGUAGAUCCUUCGGGGCUAGAUACACUUGUGCUAAGUUAUAGCUUUUCAUAGACAACUUGUUGACUAUGUUUAGUCAUGUAGCUUACCCGCUUGUGCUAUUUUACCUACGCUUAGGAUGUUGAUCUACAGAGCGAGAGU
Molecule: ribosomal RNA, 775 nt
Filed under: uncultured Neocallimastigales
Lineage: Eukaryota; Fungi; Neocallimastigomycota; Neocallimastigomycetes; Neocallimastigales
Description: partial large subunit ribosomal RNA
Rfam family: Eukaryotic large subunit ribosomal RNA
Source: RNAcentral